RNAcentral lists this ribosomal RNA (627 nucleotides) under Lobulovarium longiovatum. Its description in RNAcentral is "partial 16S ribosomal RNA". The stretch from base 257 to 416 matches the Rfam family "Bacterial large subunit ribosomal RNA", at positions 1791 to 2013 of the family's 2925-position model. Lineage: Eukaryota; Metazoa; Platyhelminthes; Cestoda; Caryophyllidea; Lytocestidae. The record is from RNAcentral.
AAGUAAGUCGUUAAGGAUUAUAUCUGUUUAAUGAGGGAUUUUUCAANNNNNNAUAAAAGUAAAGAGNNNNNNAUACAUUCUAUAUCUGUUUUAUAUUAGAUAUUUACUAAGGUUAGGGUUACCUUUGUAUUGUUGAAUAUGUUAAUAUUCUAUUUAAAUACUAUUUAAAGAUUAGAUUUUUAACUCAUUUAUUAAAAUUAUUUAAGUUUAUUUAUGGUGUAAUAAGUAAUAAUAUUAGUCAUAUUCUAUCUCGAACUUAGUCCAACUGUUUAUUAAAAACAUUUUUGCCUAAAUAAUUUAGGCAAUAUAACCUGCCCGGUGUUUAUAUUAACGGCCGCAGUAUUAUGACUGUGCGAAGGUAGCAUAAUUAAUUGCCCUAUAAUUGAGGGCUUGUCUGAAUGGUUUAAUGAGGCUAAAUUUUAGAUUAUGAUUUUUAGUGAAAUUAAUAUUGUGAGUACAGAAUCUACAGUAUAAAGUUAGACGGAAAGACCCCAGGAUCUUUUAUUUUUGUCUGGGGCAGAUUAAAUUAUUUUAAUUUAUUUUUGACCCGUAGGUUAAAGGUUUAAGUUACCCUGGGGAUAACAGAGUAAUAAUUUAUUAGAGAUCUUAUCGAAUAAGUUGUUUGCU